CAAAGCAAUAAAUAUUUAUUGGCAGAACUGUUAACAACUACGCUGGUAACUAUAUUUACAUAAUACAGUGUAAUUAUAUUUACGCAAACAUGACCUGGUGCAUGGGAAGUUCUUCCAGCCUCUGAGCAAGAAGAGGGAACAGGGCCAGCUGAUGAAUGCAUAUUGAAUGUCUGUGUGAACUAGCUGAAAAAAAUUAGGCAAGUU
RNAcentral lists this long non-coding RNA (204 nucleotides) under Pan troglodytes (chimpanzee). RNAcentral describes it as "long non-coding RNA NONPTRT004627". The record is from RNAcentral. Lineage: Eukaryota; Metazoa; Chordata; Mammalia; Primates; Hominidae.